UGUUAUGAUGACAACCCUGUAUAGGAAGCGCCGUCCGAUGCGAGAACUGACGAUUGGGGUUCUCUGAAC
This is a small nucleolar RNA of Polyodon spathula (Mississippi paddlefish), 69 nucleotides long. RefSeq annotates it as small nucleolar RNA SNORD49. The transcript has a single exon. The record is from RefSeq and is a predicted model, not a curated record. NCBI's taxonomy places the organism in Eukaryota, Metazoa, Chordata, Actinopteri, Acipenseriformes, Polyodontidae.